This is a long non-coding RNA of Vespa mandarinia (Asian giant hornet), 2127 nucleotides long. RefSeq lists it as uncharacterized. Lineage: Eukaryota; Metazoa; Arthropoda; Insecta; Hymenoptera; Vespidae. The record is from RefSeq and is a predicted model, not a curated record.
AUGAAAUAUUAUUAUAACUCGCAUAAAAACAUAUGUCUCGUGAUAAUAUUUUUAACGAAAUUUUAUCAAGUAUUAAAAUCUAUUAACGUAGUAUUGUAUCUUGACCUCAGAUACUUUCUUCGCGUAUUCCGUAAGAACGCGUAAAAUCUGACGCAAAUAUUAUUGGAAAAUAUAUUUAUCCAACUCUUGGAUAUAUGUGUGAAUAAGUAUUUAUUAAGAUAAAACGUGUAGGAGAGAGAGAGAGAGAGAGAGAGAGAGAGAGAGAGAAAAGAAAAGAAAAGAAAAAGAAAAUUUUUCUUCGCUAGUUUGAUCGAUCGAUGCAUUUGAAAAAAAAAAAUUGAAAUUACGUGUUAAAUUAUCUUCGUUUCAACAUACAAUAAGGUUAGUUCGAAACUUUGAUUUUCGUAUCGAACGAAUUUUCGCGGGAAUAUGAGGAUCGUUGGAAACGAUCGUGAAAAAUAUCGUUUAAUAAAAGGAGGAGGAAGAAGAAGAAGAAGAAGAAGAAACAAAGAAAAAAAAAAUGAAAUGUCUCGUCAAAUAUUCUUCAUUUCGACGUACAAUACGAAUCUUCUGUGUUUUCUUGGAAACAAAUUUUUACGUGAAAAAUUAAAAUCUUAAGAAUACUACUCGCGUACGAGUUAAUGCGUAAUAGAAAAAAAAAACAGAAAAAAGAGAGGAAAAAAAAAGGAAAAAAAGAAAGGAGAAGAAGAAGAAGAUAAAGAAAAAAGAAAAAAACCACAGCAAAAGAAGAAGAAAAAAGAUUCCAUUGUCCGAACUACGAGGAAAACGAUAAAAAGAGACGACUCUCGAUUUGUUACGACAGAGUCCUCCUGUGGUCGUGACAAGCUUUCAAUUUAUCUAGGGAAAGAAAAGCGUUGUGCGUGAUUUAGGAGGGGGAAAGAAAAACAAAAAAAGAAAAAGAAGAGAAAAAUCACUUACUUGAAUUCAAUGAUCCAUUUCAAUUUAUCCAAAUCGUUCUGUGUGCAAAAGUACAUGUAAUCACCACCAGCGUGCCAGGGGUAAAACGAAUGAUAACGAAUCAUAGCAAGUGCUUCCUUAGGUAAUUUACAAUUAUUAUGAACCAUAACACGAUAAAGAUAUUCGUCAUGACCCCAGGACAUCAUUAAAUUGUCUAUACCACAUUGAGGUUUGUAUAUUCCAUAUUUUGUACUAUAACAUAUAUAUAUAUAUAUAUAUAUAUAUAUAUAUAUACAUAUCAUUAAUAUUAAAUAUGUAUAUAGAUUUUUUGUUUUUUAUUAUUUAUAAUUUUCGAUAAUUCAUACUUGUAACGAGAAUCUUUGCCAUCAGGAUUAUUUUCAAAACUUGUGUCCCUAUAGACUAUGGAAUCAGCCCAUGCACAACCAACAGGAAAUGUAUCACCCACAACAGCCCAUUGUGGUUCCCCAUAGAACGCCAUAAUCUAAAAUAUUUAUUAAUGAACAAUCAUUAACAAACACAUGACUUUGUUUUCUUUUUUUAUAUCUUUUUUUUUUCUUCUUUUAUUUAUUUAUUUUUCUUUUUUCUUUCUUUCUUUUUUUCUUUUUCUUUUUUUAUUUUUUCUUGUAAUUAGGGUAAAAUAGGGUAAAAUAGGGUAGGUCAAUAAAAAAAUCUUUGAAUAUAUAAUGUACCUUUCCUAGAUCAUGUAUCAGUCCAGUUAAAUGGAACCAAUCUAAAUCAGGAUGAUCUUUUCUUAUAGAUUCGGCCGUUUGAAAAGCAUGAACGAUAUUCGGUAAAUUUGUGUCUGGAUCGCUUUCAUCGAUUAGAUCAUUUAAUUUGAUAAGAGCAUCUUUAAUCGUCAAUCUGGCUUUGUUGAAUUGUAGCCAUUCUUUCAUACGAGCUAAUAAAUUUGGAUUCAAGUAUUAAAAGCUGAUAAUAUAUGAAAAACGAUUUGAUAUUAUUCAAGAUAAUAGAUCAAUGAUCUAGAAAAUUAAUUUUAAACGAUCGAGUACGAAUUCGAUCAUUUUAAUUGUUGUAAUAAUAAGUAUAUUUUUGAGAGGAUGCUUGAAAAAUUGCUCGAAAGAAGAUUGUGGUAGAUUUUACGUCAUUGGUUAAGGGUUAAUUCGCGAUCGAUUAAAGAAAAUAAGGAAAAUGUCGAUCUUGAGAAAUGAUGAUUAAUUUAAAUGAUCU